GAGCACAGAGUUAUUUUUGAACAUUUCAAAUACAGCUUUGACUUUUGAUGAUUUAGAUCAAAUGUCCACUGUCCUAAACUGAAGUUUGAGUCUCUUAGGAUUUGGUACAGUGUCUCUCUUCUCACCUCCACUAUAAGUGAACAUUUAUUAAUAACCAAAACUUUUAUAUUAAAGUUAGGGAAUUAAAAAGAAAACAACUCACAAAAGGAGAUCUCAUGGGAGGUGGGAGGAAGAGGAUAGACCUGAGAACAGAUGCCUCACCAGGCAACAUGAAGGUCCCUGAUGAGACUGAAAGUGAUUACAGAUUAGGUGAGGUGAGGAAAAGCUGAAGCUAUGCUUGUCUGACUCCUGGCUUUCAGGUGGGCUAGUCCCACUUGAAAUCUCAGUUUUGGGAAAACAAAAAUAUGGUUCUGUGUAAUAUCUUUAUUUGUGAUAAAGCAACAAAGUUUUCUAUGGUGACUCCUCUCUUCGUUCUAUACAUAUUUAUAAAACCACUGCUGUGCUUUCUCCUUAGGGAUUGUCAGUUGCCUCACUCCUGGCUCUUGCCUUUCCUGGGUCUCUCCCACUGAGCUGAUCUGAGUACUGCCUUCAUGUGAAGCUGAUGUCUGCUCCCGCCUUAGAUCAGCUUCCCCGGGGGCUAAUUCAAUAAAAGUCUACAGCUUCCUAUUAUGAUCAUUUUUCUUUCUUUUUUCUUUCUGGUGAAGAAUAACAGGCAUAUAAGUAGUCUACAAUUACCUGUGAAAGAUUUUAACCAAACUAUGUCCACAAGAUUUUUCUUUGUUUGCUCAUUAGACUACAUUUCUUUCUUCUUGGUGUUUGUGGGAUAGAAACCACUGGCAAAGAAUGCCUUGUGUUUCCCUCUUAUUCAAUACUGCACAGGAAGGAAGAGAAACGUAAUAGUAGGUCAUACUUACUAUUGUUAUUCAUUCUGAUUCUAAUAAAAAUAUUUUUAUUUGUUAAUGAGGUAGAAAUGUACUAAUUGAAUGAAUGUCAUUUUUAGAUACAUAAGAAUAUCUGGUGGAAAUUUCAAGGUCAUGCAGUGUCAUCUUGUUGCACAAGACAACUCUAGGAGGCACCAUACACAUUUUAUACUAUGUGAAGGCCACUCUCAGCACCUCUCAAGUGGAUGGCAUUCACACAGGAUCUUGUACAAACACUCUUUCUCUGUGUUACUCUAAACUACAGUUGAUAUUAUGGCCAGAGAUUGAACGACAUUGGUUAAAGGAACAGGUUAUAGCCUUGGUUAGAAUACUAACUAGCUGACACCUAUAGAACGUAUUGUCUGGGAUAAGUUACCUGAUGUUUCUAAACUUCUCUCCUCUAAUUGUAACAAAGAUGAAUAAUAUUGUUUUCCUCAUAAGAUCUUUGUGAAGAUCAAAUGAUAUAAUUGAUGGAGGUAGUCUUAUUAAAAUCAACAUAUUACCUAAACAUAAACUAAAUUCCAACAUCAUCAAGAAAGAGAAAUCUUGAGAAUGGGUACAUGCUUUUCCUUCUUGUUGUUAUUGUUGAUCCCUGAAAAAUAUUUUGACAUUAUUACUUAUUUCAUGACCCUAUAUGAAUAAUUAGUUGUUUGCCAUUUUGAAAAUACAGUGGACACAAAAGCACCCUCAUCCUGUUCUCAAGAGAUAACCAUCCCUGAGCUUUAUUUCAUUCCUGGCAAUCCCAUCUUUUAGAACUAGUUGUGGAUUUGAGUUUUGUUCUAAUUAAUUGGCAUUAAUGUGCCUUGAGAUUGUUAUAGAAUAAAAGAGUAUGCCAUGUUCUCAAAUCUCACCUAUGGAAGCAAUAGAAUUUGUUAGCUAAGAGCAAAAUUUUGGUGUUGGCCUGGCAGGAUUUGAAUCCUGGUUCUCCCAUUACAAAUUAUGUGAAUUCAGGCAAAUCAUUUAAUCUUAAAGUAUCUUAGUUUCUUCAUCUAUAAAAUGUUGAAAAUAGUAUGUAUUAUAUUGCUAUAAGCCUUAAAUUCUUUAUAUGUAUUAUCUCAUGUGUAAUUACUUACUUUAUACAAUAUAUUUCUGUAUAGCAUGGCAGAACUUCUGCUAGUGCAAUACAGGGAUUUCCUAAUCUGAACUGAACUCUGUUUUAUUAGGAUUUAGUUCAAGUUGAUUGCAAUUAAGCAAGGUACUGUCAAUCAACAUGAAUAACAACAAAAAUAACCAGAAGAGUGUCUGACACAUAAGAAACAGUAAACAAAUAUUUGGCCAUCCCUUUCUCCUGUCCUGUGUGCUUUCUGACAUACUCAUCAUCACCUACAGCUUUCCAAGACUACCUGGGAUGGCACAGGGCCUGGAGCCAGAACUCCCUCCCUGGGUGGCUGGGCAGAAAGGAUGGAAGUCAAACUGCCUCAUCAUGCAACCUGCUAUUGGGAUGGAAGUUCCCAGUGGUAUGAUAAGAAUCAGGAAAGCAAACAUACUAGUCAACAAUGACUAGGUCCAAUUCUGCCACCAUGCUUUCUAUACAUGCGUGUUCUUAACAAGAAAUUGCCGGGGGCUGGCCUGGUGGCGUAGCCUUAAGUUCACGCAGUCUGCUUCUGCGGCCGUGGGUUUGACGGUUCGAUCGUGGUGGUGGACCUACUCACCGCUCGUCAAGCCACACUGAGGAGGCGUCCAACAUAGAAGAGAUACAACUCUACAACUAUGAUACACAACUGUGUACUGGGACUUUGGGGAGAAAAAAAAGAAAAAGAGGAAUAUUGGCAGCAGAUGUUAGCACAGGGCCAAUCUUCCUCAAAAAAAGGCAAGAAAAAAAAAACAAAA
Diceros bicornis minor is the source of this 2750-nucleotide long non-coding RNA. RefSeq lists it as uncharacterized. The record is from RefSeq and is a predicted model, not a curated record. Lineage: Eukaryota; Metazoa; Chordata; Mammalia; Perissodactyla; Rhinocerotidae. The transcript is spliced from 4 exons.